This 76-nucleotide transfer RNA is filed under the name Thermochaetoides thermophila DSM 1495. RNAcentral describes it as "Chaetomium thermophilum var. thermophilum DSM 1495 tRNA-Pro". The record is from RNAcentral. Lineage: Eukaryota; Fungi; Ascomycota; Sordariomycetes; Sordariales; Chaetomiaceae.
GGGCCGCUGGUCUAGUGGUAUGAUUCUCGCUUAGGGCUUUUGCGAGAGGUCCCGGGUUCGAUCCCCGGGUGGCCCC